AAUUCACAUCCUUGUUUUCCAGUGAGCCCCCUCCCCCAAAUGUACGCCAGACACUGAAUACAUGACAGCAGACUGCCUCUUUCUCUCUUUCGGACACUGGGCCAUGAGAGGAUGUCCUGCAGGACCAAGGGGAUACAAAGGCUGCCCUAAGAGGGCUGGGGGCAGACCCUGAAGCUGAGACAGGUCUACAGCCUGAGGGAACAUGCCUGUUCAUGCAGAGAAAGAACAAAAGCUCAGUAACUACCGUUUUCAACAAAGAAAGGUAUGAGCAAAGAACAAGUGUAAUUUCUCAUGUCCAGCAAAGAUGAUUGAUUUUCUAGGCCUUUUAGAGAUCUACUGAAGUCACACAAACCAACCUGCUUGUAAUAAUGUGGGUCCGAGCUGUUGAGGCUGGAUACCCUGAGCCAGCAUCCUCUGCAUCACACCGGGAUGAAGCUGGGGUGGAGGUCUGACCAACGGGACGUGGGGAAGCAGAGGGACUGAAUACAUCUGGGGUCUGGAGAAGGGAGAAGAGGGCCCUGGGGAUAACAUAGGAGGAGUGUGGCGGCCAGUUGUUGAAGGAGGCCUGGGUCGGUCUGGGUCUUUACUGUGACGAUUCUGAGCGGGAUUGGGAGUGGAGCAUGCCUUUACCCCACCGGUCUGAAGACCACUGGUGUCCACAUCUUCCAGAAAGGAACUGGGGGAUGGAGGCCCAUCUAUAAAACGAAAGGAGAUGGUUUUGGGUAAUUAAAAAGAUAAAAGAAUGAGACAGCCAUCUUUUUUUCUAGGGCUACAUGAUUUUAGAAUUGAUGUGGCAACAUGCACAUCCACACAAUGUCAAGUAUAGGGAUCGCAGUUGAUCCGCACCAAGGUUUUAAAUUGUCAGAGUAAUUGCAAAGAUUAACUAUCUUGGAGUGAAAGUUUACCAUUUUCACAUCCUGUCAGUUAAAACAAAUGAUUUUAAAACAUUUGAGCCCACAAAAACACGAAGAAACUGACACAUGAAUGCAAACAAUUGAGUACUGUAAAAGUACUGAACUGUCCCUGAAUACUGUAAGACUAAAGACUUUCAUCUUUGUUCUAUUGUGUUUUCCUAAGUUUGCAAUUUAGUUUAUUUUCGAUGCAGAUGCACUCCCUAACGAAAUCACCACAAUCAUUCAAGAAUGACUUCUUUCCAAUUAGAGGCAUUCAUCUUGUAAUAAUGUGGGUCUGAGCUGUUUCCAUAUCACAAUCUAUAUAAUCAAAGAAAAAACAUAUUCCAAAGUGUUUCUCCUCAAUACCAUGUAGCCCUAUUCAUUUAUUUAUUUUACACCCUGCUCUGGUCUUUUGGUGUAUGUACAUCAUUUCAUACCCUCCUGUGAGUUAUGGGAGUUCACAGUCUCCUUGCUUCCUGGUCUACUCCCAGGAUCAUCUCGACCUUUCUCUUUUGACUCGUACAUUUUUUUGAUCACGGACGUGGGAGUGAAGGAUGGAGACAACUGCAGCAGAGGGGAAAAAUUAAAAUUACUUUAGUUCUCAUUGGUCAUUUGGUCAAACGAAGGAAAUUUAAAGUACUUCAUGACAUUAAGUGUUUCUAUAAAGCCAUAAGUUGAUAUAAAUGCAUCAGAUGUAUGAUCAAAUGCCUUCAUGACAGUUAAAUUAAAUGCCACUGAUUUGACUGACCACACUAGUAACUGUAUUGCCAGGGGAUGUCCGGUCAGGAAGGGGAGGCCCAGGUGAACGGUUCAUCCUGGUUUGUCUACAAAACAGGAGAUACA
Non-coding RNA from Pimephales promelas (fathead minnow), 1736 nucleotides. The record is from RefSeq and is a predicted model, not a curated record. NCBI's taxonomy places the organism in Eukaryota, Metazoa, Chordata, Actinopteri, Cypriniformes, Leuciscidae.